Molecule: long non-coding RNA, 1843 nt
Organism: Dasypus novemcinctus (nine-banded armadillo)
Lineage: Eukaryota; Metazoa; Chordata; Mammalia; Cingulata; Dasypodidae
Source: Ensembl
UAAUCAGGGUGCCGCAGCCCCGCUGGGUCCCCUGGGUACAGUAGCAGGGGAGGAGGGUGCAGGCUCUCCAAGAUCCUAUUUCAGGCAGGCUGAGAGACAAGACUUUUUUUUUUUUGGCCACAGGAAGAAUGUUCCCUCCAACAGAACUGCUCAUCAGGCAAGAGGAAGGGAGGAUGGCAGGGCCAGCGGUGGUGACGGGUGGCUUUCCAGCAGCCUCUUCCCCUCUUCCUUCAUCCUUCAGGUCCAGGGAGCCAUCUGUUCCUGCAUCCCUGCUCGCGUUUCCUUCUCUGACCUCCUUUCCUCUUCGUUGGCCUUAAAGGUGAGCAAGGCUGGCUGUAAUUGUCCUGCUACACCAUCCCUCCACUGGGAAGUGGCCCUCUUCCGAGAGUGCAUCGGGUCCCAUACACCUGCCUGCUGGGAAGCACAAGCCACAGAACUCAUCUCUCUUUUGGCCUAUCAGAUACAGCUGAAGGUGUUUGGCUGAUGCUCCGGCAAUUUGGUGUGUUCAUUGUACGCUCUCAGGUCAGAGCUUGGCUCACCAUUUCUUUGUUCCCCUGGCAGGUGGUGCCUGGCAGCCACAGUAUCAUAGCUCCUUUCCCUCCCUCCCCACUCUCCCCCACCAUGUAAGUCCUUCAAGGGAGGAUAAAUGGAGGAGAGGUAGGGUCUGGGCAGACACGGUGGCAUUCCCACGGCAUAGCUGGAAGGUUCUCAGAACAGAGUUUUCCUGUCAAAAUCAGUGUAGUGGGCUGAAUAAUGGCCACAAAGAUAUCAGGUCCUAAUCCCUGAAAUCAGUAAAUGUUAUAUUAUUGGGGGGAAAAAUGCCUUUGCAGCUGUGAUUAAGUUACAGAUCUCAUCUUGGAGUAUCCAGGUGAGCCCUAAAUGCUGUCACAAGUACCCCUAUAAGAGGGAGGCAGAGGGGGAUUAGACACAGAAAGGAGAAGGCCAAGUGACCGAAAGGUCAGAGAGAUGUGGCCACAAGCCAAAGAAAGCCAGCGGCCACCAGAAGCUGGAAGAGGCAAGGAGCAGGGUCUCCCCCAGUGCCUCCGUCAGGAGUGGGCCCCACCGACAUCUUGAUUUUGACUUUGUGAUGUUGGUUUCAGACUUGGUGACUUCAGAAUUGUGAGAGAAUAAAUUUCUGUUGUUUUAAAGCACCAACUGUGUGGUAAUCUGUUACAGCAGGCCAGAGAAACUGAUACAGCCUACAAGGAGGAUGGAAGAAGUGAUCACUGAAAGACGGUUUCUAGGCUCUGCUUUGCAGAGUAGUUGGCUGGAAUGCCGUAAGCCAACCUUGGCCUCCAGCUCUUUUGAUUCAGACAUUCAGUUUGAGCAAUUCACUGAGGAUUGACUGGAUUCCGAGCCUCUGAGUAGUCUCAAGGCAGGAUUCUGUACCAGAAUAUUCCAGUUUUUAGAUUUGCUCCAGGCAAGUGAUCAUAGUUCUGGGGGUGACAUCGCCAACCUAGGUGGCUCUCUCCAGGAGACCAUAUUAUAGUUUGGAAUUUUGCUUGGUGAGCCCAGAACCAGAGAAGUACCUAGGAAGAAUCGUGAACUUAGUGAGACCUGAGGUCCCUCCCAGCACCCCACAAAGUAUAGAAGCCGCCUUCACUUUUACCCAUGAAGGCUGUAGGUCCAGAGCAAUCUCUUUCCUUAUUUUGUGUCCAGGGAAAACCUGACGCUCCCAAGUGGUCAGGGAGUUUAGAACAUAUCAUGUGAUAUCAUUUGUGGCAAGGAUACAAAUGGUUGGGCAGAAGCUGCCCUGAAAGCAUCUGGAAGCUCCCAAUCAAUUAGACUGACAUCUGGGUACCCACCUGCUACGCCACAGUAAGCCAACAAAUAUUUAUGGGGC